UGGGCCACGUCAGCCUUGGUGCAAGGUGGUUUUUAGCAGCAUCAGGGCUGGGAUCUGAGUGGUGUAGAUCCUGGGAAAAGCAUGUUGACUGAGUAAUGGAACUCAACGCUGCAGCUGUUGGGUACCGUUGCCUGCUGUCCUUUUAGGGUUUUUUGGUUUAAAGUUAGUCCGCUCCUGGUCCAAUUGUUUGUGGUGGUGCUGAUUGUACGGGCGGACUAACUGUUUAAUUUUUGUUUGUUUGUUUUGUUUGUUUGGGCAUCCCCCUAUGAAUGAGUUUAACCCUCCUGUCGGUAGUCACCCGGAGCCGUUCUGCACCCGACUCUUGUGC
Molecule: long non-coding RNA, 328 nt
Organism: Melanotaenia boesemani (Boeseman's rainbowfish)
Lineage: Eukaryota; Metazoa; Chordata; Actinopteri; Atheriniformes; Melanotaeniidae
Exons: 3
Source: RefSeq, a predicted model, not a curated record